CCUACGGGUGGCUGCAGUGGGGGAUAUUGGACAAUGGGGGAAACCCUGAUCCAGCGAUGCCGCGUGAGGGAAGAAGGUUUUCGGAUUGUAAACCUCUGUGGAGGGGGACGAUAAUGACGGUAACCCAUUGGUAAGCCACGGCUAACUACGUGUCAGCAGCCGCGGUAAUACGUAGUAUGCGCGCGUUAUGUGGAUUUAUUGGGGUGAAAGGGUGCGCAGGCGGUAGAUCAAGUCAGCGGUAAAAUUGAGUGGCUCAACCUCUUCGAGCCGUUGAAACUGGUUUUCUUGAGUGAGUGAGACGUGUGCGGAAUGCGAGGUGUAGCGGUGAAAUGCAUAGAUAUAACGCAGAACUCCGAUUGCGAAGGCAGCAUACCGGCGCUCAACUGACGCUCAUGCACGAAAGUGUGGGUAUCGAACAGGAUUAGAUACCCCUGUAGUC
Molecule: ribosomal RNA, 439 nt
Filed under: uncultured bacterium
Lineage: Bacteria
Description: partial 16S ribosomal RNA
Rfam family: Bacterial small subunit ribosomal RNA
Source: RNAcentral